GACGAACGCUGGCGGCGUGCUUAACACAUGCAAGUCGAACGAAGUGGCGAACGGGUGAGUAAUACGUGGGUAACCUGCCCUCCUUUUUGGGAUAAGACUUGGAACCGGGGUCUAAUCCGGAAUAAGGGGGGAGGGGCUCGCGGCCUAUCAGAUGGUUGGUGGGGUGAUGGCCUACCAAGGCGUUGACGGGGGGCCGGGCUGAGAGGGUGACCUGCCACAGUGGCACGGAGCUACCGCCGAGAGUCCGACGGGGGGGAGCAGUGGGCGAUAUGGGACAAUGCGCGAAAGACUGAUGCAGCGACGCCGAGUGGGGGCUGCAGGUUUUCGGGUUGUAAACCUCUUGCGCUAUCGAACGGGUAGGUGGAGAAGAAGCGCCGGCUAACUACGUGCCAGCAGCCGCGGUAAUUC
RNAcentral lists this ribosomal RNA (408 nucleotides) under uncultured bacterium. RNAcentral's name for it is "partial 16S ribosomal RNA". It matches the Rfam family "Bacterial small subunit ribosomal RNA", at positions 28 to 526 of the family's 1533-position model. The record is from RNAcentral.